UACGGGGGGGGUAAGCGUUGUUCGGAAUUACUGGGCGUAAAGGGCUCGUAGGCGGCCAACUAAGUCAGACGUGAAAUCCCUCGGCUUAACCGGGGAACUGCGUCUGAUACUGGAUGGCUUGAGUGUGGGAGAGGGAUGCGGAAUUCCAGGUGUAGCGGUGAAAUGCGUAGAUAUCUGGAGGAACACCGGUGGCGAAGGCGGCAUCCUGGACUACUACUGACGCUGAGUGAGCGAAAGCCAGGGGAGCAAACGGG
RNAcentral lists this ribosomal RNA (254 nucleotides) under uncultured bacterium. Its description in RNAcentral is "partial 16S ribosomal RNA". It matches the Rfam family "Bacterial small subunit ribosomal RNA", at positions 524 to 776 of the family's 1533-position model. The record is from RNAcentral.